Molecule: long non-coding RNA, 1906 nt
Organism: Lolium rigidum
Lineage: Eukaryota; Viridiplantae; Streptophyta; Magnoliopsida; Poales; Poaceae
Exons: 7
Source: RefSeq, a predicted model, not a curated record
GGAGGAGACGCAUCGCGUGUUGUUUCGUCAUGCCACCGCCGACGAGCACGUCGCGGGAGUCUCCGCCAGGAUGCGUCCGACAAGCGCGAGGAGGCGCGUAGUAUCGUGGGAGGAUCCGCAAGGCUGCCGACGACGAGGACCGUCGCGGGAGGCUCAGCUAGGACGCCUCCGGCGAGCACGAGGAGGCGCGUCUCGGGGAGAGCGGCGCUAAGCCGCUGUCGAAUCUACCAGAGAGACGAGGAGAUCUCGCGGUGACCAUCUGGCCAUGGAGCGGGUGGUGCUGGGGCGCUGGGAGUGGUCCCUUCCUCCAUGAUUCCACUAUUCUGGAGGUGCGACGGACGGCAGCGGCAAGGAGUCCUGCCGCCGGUUUCAUCGAGGACCUCUGGUUCCCGUUCAAGGGACGACGCAGCAUACCAUCUCCGCGUGCCUCAGCCAAGUCACCGCUCAGGAUCUUGACAGCGGUCCCCUUGACAGCGGGGCACACAGGUUACUCCUAAGUUCAGGGUGCUGCGUCAGAGAUCAUCUCCCAAUGCCUCAGGAGGAGCGCGGGCCACGGGCCAUCCGCCGCUGCUCCUCACCCUCGAAAAUCAUGACAUCCUUCCUGCCCGAUCUGACCUCGAGCAGCUCCGUUCGGCAUCGACCUCAUGGCUGACCAUGCAUCAGUUUGCUUCCAUAGAAUCCACUUUUCUUGCCACGUCUCCGAUGCCACAAGGCGGUUUCUGCUGCAUCUUACAUGUCAAGUUUAGCAAUCAUCGAGCAUGAGCAAGCGGUAGUUACUGAGGCGCCGUCGCUGCUCGAGAUCUGGUUCGUCUUCGACGCUGCACGCCGUGAGGGGCAUGUUGGAGCUAUCACCCCAAUCACCUGAUAUGCUGUUUCCACCACCAGAGCCACCGACCCUUAUGUUACACUCAAGAUUCCAAAAGCGUUCUGUCAGUACAUCACCGGUAAUUUUCCACAGAAAAUCGUGCUCGGCAACCCCGUUGGAGACACAUGGAGUGUUUGAAUGGUGGAAUGGAGGAACCACAUCUUCAUUGAGCACGAAUGGGAUGCAUUCACGGAGGACAACGACAUUGUGAAAGAGCCAUAUGUAUGCUCUUUCAGAUGAGGUGGAAAUAUUGCCAGUUCACAACAAGAUGAUGUUAGCCUGUACGAAAAUUAGGUGAUGAUUUGCCUCUCCCUCACUCUCACUUGCACUGAUUCUUAUAUAUCCCGUAUAGAUAGGCUCCUUCAGCGAUGAUAAGUGCUUCACGGUAGCAUAUACUUGGCACCACUGAGCACUUGAUUGCUAUGUUAAAUGUAACCUGGCAUUUUGUUUGAGAUCUGUCUUUUCAAUUAUAGCAUGCAAAAAUUAUCCAUACGACAUAUACCACAAUUAAAGAAAUGCUCUUAUAAUCAACUUCCAAGUUAUUGGAAUUUAUUUUUGACGAGUCCAUAAAGUUAAAUACCCUGUACAUUUCACCUGCAAAAACUUACCAUGAAUUGUUUUGUUCUGCUCUUAGAUUUGAUGUGGGUGCCAUUGUAGACAUUUAUAUGUUUCAGGACAUCAGCGACAUGGAAGAGAAUGCGAGGAUGCCUUUGGCGAUCAGGUGAAGCUAUAAUUGUCACGCAAUGGGAGAAAGUUUUUGGAAGAAACCAUAUCCAUGCUGAAUAAAAAUUGUACUCUAUGUGAUAGUAUAGAUCUUGAAUUUUGCUCGGCAACUCCCAUCUUCCCAUUGUCUGUGAAAGGGGAAAACAUGCCAGAGCAGAGAUUUUGUUGCUUACAAAUGAGGUUGGAACACAACCUCUACUUUAUUUUUGUAAAUUAUUUGUAGUUUUUGGUGGCUCGCCAGAAAAUGUAAACACUGUCCUGUAUGGCUGUAUGAUUUGAUAGAAAUCCACCAUGGUUUUGUGACCAAAACGACUGAAA